UACGUAGGGUCCGAGCGUUGUCCGGAAUUAUUGGGCGUAAAGGACUCGUAGGCGGUUUGUCGCGUCGGGAGUGAAAACCCAGGGCUUAACCCUGGGCUGGCUUCCGAUACGGGCAGACUAGAGGUAUGCAGGGGAGAACGGAAUUCCUGGUGUAGCGGUGAAAUGCGCAGAUAUCAGGAGGAACACCGGUGGCGAAGGCGGAUCUCUGGGCCUUACCUGACGCUGAGGCGCGAAAGCUAGGGGAGCGAACAGG
This 253-nucleotide ribosomal RNA is filed under the name uncultured bacterium. RNAcentral describes it as "partial 16S ribosomal RNA". It matches the Rfam family "Bacterial small subunit ribosomal RNA", at positions 524 to 776 of the family's 1533-position model. The record is from RNAcentral.